RNAcentral lists this microRNA precursor (78 nucleotides) under Schistosoma margrebowiei. RNAcentral describes it as "mir-3492 microRNA precursor family". It matches the Rfam family "mir-3492 microRNA precursor family". Lineage: Eukaryota; Metazoa; Platyhelminthes; Trematoda; Strigeidida; Schistosomatidae. The record is from Rfam by way of RNAcentral.
AGCUUUUUGGAUCAGUGCAGAGAUUUCGUCGGACACCAACGUAUUAGGGCUGACUAGACUUUCAAGGUAAGUGUAGUU